UGGUGGAGUGAUUUGUCUGGUUAAUUCCGUUAACGAACGAGACCUCAGCCUACUAAAUAGUUAUGUGAAUCUUCUACUCGGGUGAAGCUGUUGUUGGUGUCGGUGGUUUCGGCCGUCGGCUCAAUGGCAGUGGAUCCUUGAUGCAUUCAUAGGCAACUUCUUAGAGGGACUAUUUGUAUCUAGCAAAUGGAAGUUUGAGGCAAUAACA
This 208-nucleotide ribosomal RNA is filed under the name uncultured eukaryote. RNAcentral's name for it is "partial 18S ribosomal RNA". It matches the Rfam family "Eukaryotic small subunit ribosomal RNA", at positions 1299 to 1458 of the family's 1831-position model. The record is from RNAcentral.